This 233-nucleotide ribosomal RNA is filed under the name uncultured bacterium. Its description in RNAcentral is "partial 16S ribosomal RNA". It matches the Rfam family "Bacterial small subunit ribosomal RNA", at positions 102 to 334 of the family's 1533-position model. The record is from RNAcentral.
ACGGGUGAGUAACGCGUAUGCAACUUGCCUAUCAGAGGGGGAUAACCCGGCGAAAGUCGGACUAAUACCGCAUGAAGCAGGGAUCCCGCAUGGGAAUAUUUGCUAAAGAUUCAUCGCUGAUAGAUAGGCAUGCGUUCCAUUAGGCAGUUGGCGGGGUAACGGCCCACCAAACCGACGAUGGAUAGGGGUUCUGAGAGGAAGGUCCCCCACAUUGGUACUGAGACACGGACCAG